ACUGCGCGGACUCUUCAACCAGGUGUCGACCGGCGAGGAAUUGGUGCGCGAAAGAGCGAUCAAGUUUCUGGCCACCAGCGUGCGCCACCUGUCCGAUGACGUCCUCACGCCGGAAGUCGAAAACACGAUCGUCGAGGCCGGCAAGAAGGUGUUGGAGGACGUGACGGGCGAUGAGUUUCUCCUGCUCAUGACACUCUUCCGCAACCUGAAGGUGAUGCAGACGCUGCUGGGACGCAAGCAACUGCUAGACAUCGUCACCGAACAAGCCGACCUCGACAAAGCAUUCGAGGCGGAGGAUGUGGAAUGUGUUGACCGACUGAUCCAGUGCGUUAAGCAGGCCAUGCCUCUCUUCUCCGUGAGUAUACUACGCGCUCGCGUGGG
Molecule: long non-coding RNA, 381 nt
Organism: Priapulus caudatus
Lineage: Eukaryota; Metazoa; Priapulida; Priapulimorpha; Priapulimorphida; Priapulidae
Exons: 3
Source: RefSeq, a predicted model, not a curated record